AGUUUCAAUAUGACUGCCUGGAUGAAGAAGGAUUUGAGACUAAGUUUAUUCCUCCAAAGCAAACCAACUGAGAAUGCAGUUUUCAAUGCAACCCAUCAUCAAAGGGAAGGAGUUGAUGAAAAGAAAUGAAAUUGAAACGUGCACCUGGGGAGAAGUGAUUGAAGGUUCUUCAUUUAAGGGAUUGGCUCCUUUUCUCUUAUUAUACUGUGAAAUCUGAAAACAUCUCUUGAAAUUCUGGUCACUGUCUUCUGGACAUCCCAAGGCGCACCAUCUCCACAGUUCCUCCCUCCUAGAUUAUCCCAUCCAGUGUGGCAUCCAGUGUGGCAAAUGGAAAGACUCUUCCAGUGGGCAACUGAAAAGGACACCAAAGAAAGCAGAUACAGCCCAUGAUCAAAGAAGCACAUAACUUCAGUUUGGAACAUG
Molecule: long non-coding RNA, 423 nt
Organism: Homo sapiens (human)
Lineage: Eukaryota; Metazoa; Chordata; Mammalia; Primates; Hominidae
Source: Ensembl